Molecule: ribosomal RNA, 515 nt
Filed under: uncultured bacterium
Lineage: Bacteria
Description: partial 16S ribosomal RNA
Rfam family: Bacterial small subunit ribosomal RNA
Source: RNAcentral
GAUGAACGCUGGCGGCGUGCCUAAUACAUGCAAGUCGAGCGAAUGGAUUAAGAGCUUGCUCUUAUGAAGUUAGCGGCGGACGGGUGAGUAACACGUGGGUAACCUGCCCAUAAGACUAGGAUAACGCCGGGAAACCGGGGCUAAUACCGGAUAAUAUUUUGAACUGCAUGGUUACAAAUUGAAAGGCGGCCUCGGUUUCAACGUAUGGAUGGACCCGCGUCGCAUUAGCUAAUUGGUGAGGUGACGGCUCAACAAGGCAACGAUGCGUAGCCGACCUGAGAGGGUGAUCGGCCACACUGGGACUGAGACACGGCCCAGACUCCUGCGGGAGGCAGCAGUAGGGAAUCUUCCGCAAUGGACGAAAGUCUGACGGAGCAACGCCGCGUGAGUGAUGAAGGCUUUCGGGUCGUAAAACUCUGUUGUUAGGGAAGAACAAGUGCUAGUUGAAUAAGCUGGCACCUUGACGGUACCUAACCAGAAAGCCACGGCUAACUACGUGCCAGCAGCCGCGGUAA